RNAcentral lists this long non-coding RNA (319 nucleotides) under Mytilus galloprovincialis (Mediterranean mussel). The record is from RNAcentral. Lineage: Eukaryota; Metazoa; Mollusca; Bivalvia; Mytilida; Mytilidae.
CGCGUUUCGUCUACAAAAGAUUCAUCAGUGACGCUCGAAUCCAAAAAAGUUAAAAAGGCCAAAUAAAGUACGAAGUUGAAGAGCAUUGGGGACCAAAAUUCCUAGAAGUUGCGCCAAAUACAGCUAAGGUAAUCUAUGCCUGCGGUAGAAAAGCCUUAGUAUUUCAAAAAAAUCAAAAUUUGUAAACAGUAAAUUUAUAAAUAUAACCAUAUCAAUGACAAUUCAUGUCAGCACAAAAGUGCUGACUACUGGGCUUGUGAUACCCUCGGGGAAAUAAAUCUCCACCAGCAGUGGCAUCGACCCAGUGGUUGUAAAUAAC